RNAcentral lists this ribosomal RNA (252 nucleotides) under uncultured bacterium. RNAcentral's name for it is "partial 16S ribosomal RNA". It matches the Rfam family "Bacterial small subunit ribosomal RNA", at positions 524 to 776 of the family's 1533-position model. The record is from RNAcentral.
GACAGAGGAUGCAAGCGUUAUCCGGAAUGAUUGGGCGUAAAGCGUCUGUAGGUGGCUUUUAAGUCUGCCGUCAAAUCCCAGGGCUUAACCCUGGACAGGCGGUGGAAACUACCAAGCUGGAGUACGGUAGGGGCAGGGGGAAUUCCUGGUGUAGCGGUGAAAUGCGUAGAGAUCAGGAAGAACACCGGUGGCGAAGGCGCUCUGCUAGGCCGCAACUGACACUGAGGGACGAAAGCUAGGGGAGCGAAUGGG